GAUGAACGCUGGCGGCGUGCCUAAUACAUGCAAGUCGAGCGAACAGACGAGGAGCUUGCUCCUCUGACGUUAGCGGCGGACGGGUGAGUAACACGUGGAUAACCUACCUAUAAGACUGGGAUAACUUCGGGAAACCGGAGCUAAUACCGGAUAAUAUAUUGAACCGCAUGGUUCAAUAGUGAAAGACGGUUUUGCUGUCACUUAUAGAUGGAUCCGCGCCGCAUUAGCUAGUUGGUAAGGUAACGGCUUACCAAGGCAACGAUGCGUAGCCGACCUGAGAGGGUGAUCGGCCACACUGGAACUGAGACACGGUCCAGACUCCUACGGGAGGCAGCAGUAGGGAACCUUCCGCAAUGGGCGAAAGCCUGACGGAGCAACGCCGCGUGAGUGAUGAAGGUCUUCGGAUCGUAAAACUCUGUUAUUAGGGAAGAACAAAUGUGUAAGUAGCUAUGCACGUCUUGACGGUACCUAAACAGAAAGCCACGGCUAACUACGUG
Molecule: ribosomal RNA, 497 nt
Filed under: uncultured bacterium
Lineage: Bacteria
Description: partial 16S ribosomal RNA
Rfam family: Bacterial small subunit ribosomal RNA
Source: RNAcentral